UGUGUAUGUAUAUCUGUGUGUAUUUUUAAAGGUUUCUUUGAACUGCCUUUGUGCUGACUAGGCAAAGCUCCUUGCCAAUGCUAGUCACGGUUUAAGGAACUUUGAGUUAACCUCUUAUAUCGAAUGAAUCUUUUCAUUUGGAAACCAAUAAAUCUCAAUCUCUAGCCACCUUUUGUAGAACAGGCUGGGGCUUACCAAGGCAAGGAUGAAGCUUAUAAUAAAGAAGAGAUAAAGUUUGCCAAAGUUUGGUGUUGGGUUGUUUGAGGGUUUGUUGUUUUUUUUUUCCCUUCCCCUUCUGUUGUAAAUAAAAGUUUUGGAGAUGGCAGCAUUUGGAAGCAAUCCGGAGAAGGACUCGGAUCUAUGCAUUGUUUCACAAUCCCAGCUGCACAACACACUCUGGUCCAUCAUGGUCAUGGGUUUCAUCACAGACUGUGACAUCAAUCAGCCUGUGGCAGAGGAAACCAGCUCUACUCUUACGCAUGAACUCCAUUGCUGACCAGGAGAAGGGAGUGGAGGAGAAUCCACUCGUGCCUUUGCAGAACUGGUUUCUCUUUGCUCCGGAAGCACACAAGUGGCUUCAGCUUCCCAAGGCUCCCAGUGAGGAUGGGAUUAAAGCAGCUGCUCCAACCCAUCAACCGAUCUUUACCUCAGUGCCCCACAAAACAGAGGAGACGUUAUUUACUGUGACAUCUGGAUCGCAUUUAAAACUAAGAGAAUAAAAGGUAGAUUUGCCAGUUGAAUUUCUGAUCUAUAAAACUUAGGUUGCACUCUGGGUGUUUUUACAUCAUUAGAGGAAUUAUACCUCUGGGUAUACUUUUAGCAGCCUGUCCGAUAGCUUCAUCCUGGUCUGGGUCAACACUGGAGCUAGGAGUAAAGAGUUAAAUUAAUUUCUUCCCAUAAGGCAGGAUUUUGCAAUCCAUUUCACUUUUCCAGCCCUUUCCAUUUUUCUCGCUGACUGUAGACCUGCCAGUUGAUGUUACCUCUCCUGGUCACUUGGAGGUUGCCUCAUGGACCACAAGGUCUCUCCUGGCCAAUGGCUGAACGCUGCUGAUUGGAGGAACAUGAAAGAGCAGAAUGAGCCUCUCUCAGGGUCACUGGCCUGGCACGAUGCUCACACACACUAAGUAAUGUGCUACAAGGAACAUUUUAUUUUUUGCUUUGCCUGUCAGUCUCAGUUUCAACUCUUUUAAACUUUUCCUUUGCCACAGGAAAGACCAGAAGACUGUGGAAAGCAACCACCAGUUUAUAUGCCAUAAGAAGAGUUUGCUUAGAUAUUAAAGUAUAAACAUUUCCUUGGGUCUCCCUUAUCUCUAGCAUUUUCAGAUUUCAUCAGAAGUAGUUUGUUUGAUUCUGGUAUUUUUAUAUUAUCUCUGGACCCUUCAAUCCUGGCUGGUACUUCAACAGAACAUCUCCCACUUUCCACACGACUAUCUCCACCUCUGCCUUUGAUAGGUUUGCAACCAGUUGCUUGAAGUAUUCAGUCUGGAUUUGAACCGGUUUGUAUUCCUUGACAAUUUGCUUUGAACACUGUCAAAUGAGGUAUGGUACUGCCUUUUAUGGGGUGUUUUUGAUGUCCUACUUUCCCCUGGUUCCCCCAUCCUCUUCUCUCUCUCGUGCAGGAUCGUCUGGUUGCACCUAGACUCACUUGCUGUUUGCAGCAAUCUAUAAUAGAACCACCUGGGAAAGAACAUAUCUUCAUUUUUUCUUUUUCUAUGUUUCUUUCUUUAGAAUGAACUUUGCAUUGAGGGAUUAUUGACAAAUAUGUUUGAAAAAGACGUGUAAAUAAAAACCUUUAUGGUCCAUCUUGUGGUUAAAAGCGGGUAUUUCUUUGCUCAUUUGAAUGUCGGUGGAUUAUUUAUGCUGGUGCAAUGUUUUGAAGAAAUAAAAUACUCCCCACUGUGCUACAUGCAAAUCUCUGCAAUGUAAACAUAAAUAGCUGUUGCACAUGCAUAAUCAAAGAUAUUUUUUAUAACUAUUGUUGGGUAGUUCAGUCCUCUAAUGGCAUCAUCUGGUGUAAAUCAGUGUAGCUGUACUGAAGCCUGCAAAGCCCCUACCAGUUUGUACCAGAUGGGACUCAAACUCUUCACUCUAAGUUUAGUCCUGAAAAAAAAAAGAGAAAAAAGCAAAAGCCUGAUAGUCCUUGAAAAUGGAGCUCUUUGUUUAUUCAUGGAAAGCUAGUAGAGCAAGAGUGGCAGGGACUUUUCUUGAUCCAUUGUAUGCCUCAGCCCUUAUCUAGGGAGAACAUUUCUGCAAUGAGGGAAAGCAUGGGUUUCUGUGCCAAGUUAGUUCCUGGCCCCUCUGCUCAGAUGACUGCAAAGAUUUGCCAGAUAAUGUCAUUUAUAAUGUGAGCUCCUUUUUGCCAAGAUUUGGACUAAGACCACCAGCUCUUUAGCACAGGCCAGCAGACUGCUGCCAGGUGCUAAGAAUUUUCAAUCGUUCACAACCUGUGCUGCAUUUUUAGAUACCUAAAGGUGAAGGGUUUGAAAUCUGGUUUUCUGUCCCCAGAGCAAUCUUGUUUCACUGUCAGUCAGCAUUAUCUUUUCUCCAACAUUGUACACAGCAGAAAGAACUUGCUAAAGCUACUUUGACACCUGAUUCUACUCCAGCUGAAGACAACAAUCUCAAUCUUAUCCUUUUGGUGUUCUGUAGACAAACUUCGCUCUGAGUUAAUAUAAAAUACAAUAUUCAGCAGCAUUUAUUUUCACAAAUUAAUUUAGACUACGUCAUCCGAAUAGCUGCUAGUGGAGACUGCCCAUGCUGGUUUUAAUGCUACAAAUACACAUUUAUUUCCAAAUUAUCAAUGCUAUUAGCUGGCAUACAUAAUGUUUUAUCCAACAGACAUGAAGCUAACUUUGUUUGCAUAAAGAGGUGGACAACUGGGGGAUUGUUUCCCCUCUUUUGAAUGCUGAUAGCAAAAGUAUCUACUAAAUACUGAAUUAUUUCUUAUUACAAGAUAACAGAAUGUUCACCUAAACUUCAUGGAGGAGUAAGAUUUUACAGAAGUGAGGAGUACACACAUACACACACAAUAAAUGUAUCCAGCUUUCAGACAACUAAAAGUUUGCAUUACUAUGAUCAGCUCUUUCAGGUUUGCCUGUGAGAAUUUUUUACCUCUUUUCUGCAUUUCCAACAAGAUCCUCCAGAAGAGUUGUUAUUCUUCUAUAAAUACGCUUGAUGUGGACAUAAACUUUUUUGCAAGAAGUCUGAGCUACUGUUAGCAGCUACUGAAGAACUCUAAGUCCGAUGUGGGUUUAAUUUGUGAUGAGUGCCAUGGCAGAACAGUCUAACAAUAUAAGCCUGUUGGACAUGUCGUCUGGGCUGUCACGUUCAAUUUGCACAUGACCUCCUGGCCAAAAAAUGGGAAAGAAGUGGUAGAAUGUGGGACUGAAAGCUUAUAUUAUUGCUUUGACAGCUUCACUCAUCUAGAAGUAAUGCAAAAUGCAAUUUAUAUUUAUACUCUCUGACCUUCUGUACAGAGAGGGAAACUAUCUAAUGAUGGGCCAUGGUAGCAGAGAAAGAAACAGAUCUCAAUACAUCUGGAAUUUGUCUACAUUUUUUGCUUUUCAACCAUUCAAUUACAGUCAAAAGAUAAAUGAGACAUGAAGAGUGCCUUGGUUAGGUAGUGACACAAUUAUUUUAUAGUGAGUAGGUUCUGGCUUUGAGCCUUGGCAAAGGUUGCCAUGCACGCCUUGUUUCACUAGAUACAGAUAAUCUGCCUGCUCCCACCGGACAAAUCCCCUCUGCUUGGAGGUGUGUCAUUAUGCCCACCACAGGAGGAGAAGAAAGACACCAGCAUCUUGGUACCACUCUUCCCGUGCAUUUGAAUAUCCUUGAGAUAGGCUGAUGGUCUAAUCCUAUUAACUACGAUAAAUCAAGUCAGGCCUAAUUGUAAACCGGGACAUUAUUAAUUUCUGUGGAAAAUAGGCAGAUAGGAAGAACACACAGUGUUCUUCUCAUCUGAGGAGCAGCACCUGGGUUUGUGUCUUCUCAGGUAAAAGAAAUAAACAAACCAGCCUUUGAUUCUGACAGAACUGCUGAAGUAAAUACCAGAUAACACCUGAAGAUCCUUAACAACAUGUCUCAGAGCAGAUAUACUGUCGCAGCUCAGCAUCCUUCAGAGGGUUCACUGCAGCCACAACUGUUUACAACAGCACGAUUUGGCUCAAAAAUUCAGCCUCCAGCUGCAUCUGUUUCUCCCUUUUCAUCCAAAAGAGACACAGCAUUUGAAGAAAAAGUUACUUGCAGGAAUAAGCAUUAAGAGGAGGUACAGGUACAGAAAAUGGGAAGCCCAGGUUUCUCAUAUCCCAGUGUACUUUGGACAACUGUUUGGACAAAACACUAGUUUGAAUUCUUCUCUUCAUCCCAUUGAUCCAUUCUGCCUUGAAAAGGAGUUGAUAAAAGUCCAUUUGCCUCAACAGUGAGGUUUCUUUUCUGUUUUAAUUGUUUUAUUUGGAACUGCCACAUUUCAAUGAGUGUUCUUUUUGCUUUUGUAGAUUGAAUGAUUAAAAACCAUGUUAUUGGACAAAAA
This is a long non-coding RNA of Strigops habroptila (Kakapo), 4528 nucleotides long. RefSeq lists it as uncharacterized. NCBI's taxonomy places the organism in Eukaryota, Metazoa, Chordata, Aves, Psittaciformes, Psittacidae. The transcript has 3 exons. The record is from RefSeq and is a predicted model, not a curated record.